AUCUCAACAUACUAAGUGAAUAAAAUCUCGACAAGUCAUAUAAUAUAAAUAAAAGACAGACACCUUAAUUAGAGCUGACACACUAAGACUCUGAAAGCAAAAGACGAGGUAGCUUCAAAGCUAGCCUCCAGCAACUCACCAAGUAAAACAAAACUUCUCCUGCACACCAUCUAUCCAUAAAUACGCAAAGGUAGGUAGUCAAACAAACGACCACUGGAGGUUUGUUCACAUUUCACAAUUAAAGUAUAAUCAAAUUAAAAUGAACGAUAUAAUUAAAUUCAAAUGAUUAAACAAUACUUAAGAAGCUCAACAUCAUUAAUAAUCAUCAAUCAUACAAGUAUGAUUAUACACAAGUACAUUUUCAACAUCAUCACAUAUUCAUCAAAUUUUACCAAGCACGUAAUUCAUCAAAUUUUACCAAGCACGUAAUUCAUCAAGUUCACCGAUCCACAUAAAUCACCAAGGUUCACCAAGCACAUAAACAAAUACGACACAUUUAAUCAAUUAUCAAAUGUAUGUAAUGCGCAUAAACACGACUUUAUAUGCAUGUCCUACCGGUUGUCGUCAUUUGAAUACAAAGUAUUCUUUUCGUCUUCGUCGGAUAUAAUGUCCUAGUCAUCUUCAUUGGAUAUAAAUAUCCUACUUAUGAAUGCAUGAACAUACGAAUCAACAAUGCACACGCUCAACAAAAAAUCGUCAUCAUUUUCUUCAUUUUUCAUAAAUGCAUUCAUCAUCAAUAACGUUGUCAUUAUGCAUGCAAUGAUUCAUCAACAUAAAUCAUCAUCAUCAUCAUAAUCAUUAUCAACAACAAUCAACUAAAGAAUCAACAAAGUUCCAAACUAAUGAAUAAACAAUUCUAGUCGUCUUCAUUGGAUAUAAAUAUCUUACUUAUGAAUGCAUGAAUAUACGACUCAACAAUGCAUACGCUCAAGAAAAAAUCGUGAUCAUUUUCGUCUUGAUUUUUCAUAC
RNAcentral lists this long non-coding RNA (969 nucleotides) under Medicago truncatula (barrel medic). RNAcentral describes it as "long non-coding RNA (MTRU_LNC001575)". The record is from RNAcentral. Lineage: Eukaryota; Viridiplantae; Streptophyta; Magnoliopsida; Fabales; Fabaceae.